GGGUCCUGAGGCCUCUACCCACGUGCGCAGCCCCGAGCUUCUUCCGGAUGGCGCCGGAAAAUGACGUUCGCGCAGACGCCUCAAGGGUCCACAGAAAGACAGCCAAGCUUAGGAAUUCCACCACAAGAGGGAGCAAGAGACGUGGAGCAGAGGAGCAGAGGUGUCCACACAGGGUCCGAAAGAAGGUGUUUCUCCCUGAAGGCAGUCAGUGCAGACAUGGAGGUGGAUUUUAUUCUCAUUCAAGAGAGAAGGGAAGGGAAAGAAAUGCCAGAGCGAGAAACACUGAUCGGAUGCUUCCUGCACACCCCCAACUGGGGAUUGGGCCCGCAACCUGGGCAUGUGCCCUGAGUGUGAAUCGAACCCGUGACCUUUCAAUUGUGGGCCUACACUCUAAUUAACUGAGCCAAGCCAGCCAGGGCUUUACUCUUUUAUUAAAAAGAAAAUUUAUUAGCUUAGCAAAGCAUACUAUAUAGGGUCAUCCUAAGUGAUAUUUUUAAACCAGUUAUUGAAAGUGGUUUAUAAAAAAUUUAAAACAUAUAAGUGUAUUAAUUUACAUAGGAUAGUGGCAUAAUACAUUUCCUUUGGGGCUUAAAAGAAUAUACAUAUCAGACAAAGAUGCAGAGCUUGGGUAUGAGUGCAGAUGGUGUGAUAUCGAAGUGUUUUUAUUUUCUUCUUGGACCCAAACACCUUUGAGUUCACAGCUUGGGUCCCAGUGAUGCUCCAGUUAUCUAGUUAUGUUUUUAAAAGUUUAAUUCACCCUUAGGAUACAUAUGGGAGAAUUUCUAGUUUAUAUAAAACUUUGGGUGGUUAAUAAAAGAAUACAGACAAAUACAAGUUUUGGAGGUUAUUCACCGCAAAAUAAAAGGCCACAAUGAAAAGCAACAACCCUUUAUUUAGGAUCAA
Artibeus jamaicensis (Jamaican fruit-eating bat) is the source of this 903-nucleotide long non-coding RNA. RefSeq lists it as uncharacterized. The record is from RefSeq and is a predicted model, not a curated record. The transcript has 3 exons. NCBI's taxonomy places the organism in Eukaryota, Metazoa, Chordata, Mammalia, Chiroptera, Phyllostomidae.